AAAAGCUGUUUGACUCCAAACUCCGUGAAACAUGGAGCCCAGGCAGCACACUGAUUGGGGAAUUCUCUGGCCAACUGUGACGAAGUAAGAUGUUGAGCAGAGGCAUUCUUCCAGAGUUUCCCGCAGAACCCACAUGGCUUUGGCCCUUGGAGAGCUCCAGGCCAUCAGAGAUGGUGCAGGAAUGGGGUAGGAGACAGAGGAAGCCCUGCAGGAAGCCAGCAAAAACCUCACCUACCUUGAGAACUCAGCAAUGCCGGAAGAGAUUGAGAUUCCUAGAGAAUGGAGGAGCCGGGAACAAAGGAGAAGGAUGGGAUCCAGGAACAGGCCAAGAGAACCAGCUCGAUGCUUCUUCCUCUCCCUUCUAGAAAAUUCUGUUCAGAAGCCAUUAGAUGGAAAGAAUCCCAAGAGACCAGUGAAGCAAGAAAUUAUCAAAGCUGCGGUAUUUACGAAGUCACUUUGUGCCAGUGCCCCAGCAAGCUGCCACCAUGGCUGCCAAGCCCUGUCACCCUUGCUGAUCAGUACAGAGAGGGGCUCGCUGCGCUGGGUAGAGGAAGCAGGAAGUUUGCUGAACUCAGACGGAAGAAAAAGGAUUCCUCUGGAGAAUCCCAGCAGGUUUCUGAUUGGACAUGGGUCCAUGUCCUUGUGAAGUCUCCUCCUCCUGAACCUGCCCUGCUCUGUGACUUGCUUUUGACCACCAGCAUGCUGCAGAAGUGAUGCCGUGUGACUUCUGAGUGGGUCAUAGGAAGCCUUGCAGUGUGGCCUGGGUCUUCAGGAAUGCUUGUUUGAGGAAAACCACUGUCAUGUAAGAAGUAUGGCUACCCUGAGACUGUCAUGGUGUGAGGACUCCUAAAUGAGUCACAUGUGGAUGGCCACCUAUUCAGGCCUCAGUUCUUCCAGCCAUUGCGACUGUGGCCCACGCAUGUGGGGGAAGAGGCCAUUUUUCACGCCCAUCCCAGUUGAGUCUUUAGAUGAUCCCUUCCUGGGCCUCCAGCUGACUGUAACCAGACUCCAGGCAGGAACCACAUAGGAACUGAACCCAGUCAACCCACAGGCUGGGGAGGAUGAUAGUCCAUUGUUGUAUAAAGCCACUGCAUUUGGAAUGGUCUGUUGUAUACUACCUAAUCAGAACAAGACUCAAUCCUUUCUUCAUAGCUGGUAGUCUUAAGCAUUUAUUAAUUCAUAUUUUAGUCACAUUAUGAAUUUUCUAUCACAAUAAGCAUUUAUUGAGCACUUUUUAUAGAGGGACUAUGCUAGGCUUGAAGAAUAAAAGACACAUAGGACACGGCCCUGCUUAUGUUCAGGUAGCUGUGGUCUAAACGAGGACGCACACAUAAGGUGAAGACCCCAUGAGAUGGAAUACACGGGGAUAACAAGCCUCACAGUGGACUGGUCGCUUUACCAGGGGUGAGGCGAUUCUGCCUAUAAGGUAGGGAAGGACUUUCUGAAAGGGUGACACUGAGUUCCACCUUGAAAAAUGCCUGAGAAUUCACCCAUAGACACAGUGGAAGAGGGGUGUUCCGAGGAAGGGAGAUCAAUGUGCAGAGAGACAGAAAUCCCGGUUCGCUUAUUCCCAACAAGGCAGAGAACAAACCUCUCCCAGUGAUGCCCUCCCUUGUUCCCGUCCCCAAUCUUUUGAUAAUAGUGGGAAGGGUUUCAAAGUGAGGGUUAAAAAUGGGCUGGUUUUGCCACCCCUUAGUAAGUCUUGGGCAGGAUUCUCAACUCUUGACACUCAUUAAAAUCACCUGGGAAGCUUUUGCAAAACUCCAGCAUGGUACAACUACUUUAGAAACUGGUGUUAUCCAUUAAAACUAAACAUUUGCUUAUCUUAGCAAUUCCACUCCUAGGUUUAUAGAGUAAACAGAAACACAUACGUGCCUGUGUCAAAAAACAUGUAUAGGCAUGUUCAAGACCACACUGUUUGGCCAAGUGCCCUAGUUCAUGCCUGUAAUCCCAGCAUCUUGGGAGGCCAAGGCGGGAGUAUUGCUUGAGGCCAGGAGUUUGAGACCAGCCUGGGCAUCAUAGUGAGACUCCCAUCUUGACACACACACAGUUUUUUUUUUUAAUUAGCUGGGUGUGGUGGCGUGCACCUGUAGUCCUAGCUACUUGGGAGGCUGAGGUGAUAGGAUCCCUUGAGCCCAGAAGUUCAAGGCUGAAAUGAGCUAUGAUUGUGUCACAGCACUCCAGUAUGGGCAACAGAGAGAUCCUAUGUCCAAAACAAAAACAAAAACAAAACAAAAAUACACACAUUAUUUGUAAGAUGUAAAAAAAGGGAACAAUCCAUGUGUAUCAAUAGAAUAGUUAUAUGCUGUGUAUGCGUAAUUAGUGUCUUAACCUGUUCAGGCUGCUGAAUACCUCAACUGGGUAAUUUACAAACAACAGAAUUUAUGGCUCAUGGUUCUAGAGGCUAGGUAGUCUAAGAUGCAAACGUCAACAGAUUUGAUGUCUGGUAAGGCCCUGUUCAUCAUAGAUGGCACCCUUUUGCUGUGUCCUCACAUGGCAAAAGGGACAAACAGGAUUUUUUCAAGCCUCUUUUAUGAGGGUACUAAUUCCAUUUAUGGGGGGAGAGCCUUUGUAACCCAUUCACUUCCUAAAGCCCCCACCACUUAAUACUAUUGGAGAUUAGAUUUCAAUAUAUGAAAUUUGGGUGGGACACAAACAUUCAUACCAUAGCGGGCAGACAAUGUAAUACUAUACAGCAAUGAAAAGAAAUGAACAACAGCGACCCAGAACAACAUGAAUGAACUUUUUUUUUUUUUUUGACAGAGUCUUGCUCUAUUGCCCAGGCUGGAAUGCAGUGACACAAUCUUGGCCCAACCUCCACCUCUUGGGUUCAAGCAAUUCUCCUGCCUCCGCCUUCCGAGUAGCUGGGAUUACAGGCACACGCCACCAUGCCCAGCCAAUUUUUGUAUUUCUAGUAGAGAUGGGGUUUUGCCACGUUGAUCAGGCUGGUCUUGAACUCCUGACCUCGGGUGAUCCGCCUGCCUCAGCCUCCCAAAGUGCUGGGAUUGCAGGCAUGAGCCACUGCGCCAGGCCCAUGAAUGAAUCUUAAAAAUAAAAUAGUGAAUCAAGGAAGUCAGACACAAAGAGUACAUACUCUACGGCUGCAUUUCUAUAAAUAUCAAAAAGAGGCAAAACAAAUGUGUGGUGUUAGAAAUCAGGAGAGUGUUACUAUCCUGGGGAGGAAGGAGAAGACCUGAAGGAACUUGAGGGGGGCUUUGGCCUGCUGGUAGAGCUUUUUUUUUUUUUGUCUCGAUCUAGGUGGUAGUUACAUACGGAUAUUCACGUUGUAAAAGUUUGCCAAGGCUUUAAUGUAAUUAUCUGAUGCAUAUUAUAAUUAAAAUGGAAAGUUUGUUUUAAAAGUACCAGUGCUUGGUCUCCACCCCUAUGGACUCUGGUUUUAUUGCUCUGGGAAGGAGCUCAGCCCUCUUAGUGGUGUAAAAAUUUUCCAGGUGAUUCUGAUAUGCAGUCAGGCUUGAGAAACACAUGCUGUGCUUGAUUAGUGGCCUCUCUCUUUGGACUUGGAGAAUGCUGGCCUGUUGUUUUCACCUAUUGGCCAGUCCCACUCAGCCUUUGGUUAUGAAUUAGAUUAGAAACGUAG
Molecule: long non-coding RNA, 3598 nt
Filed under: Homo sapiens (human)
Lineage: Eukaryota; Metazoa; Chordata; Mammalia; Primates; Hominidae
Source: RNAcentral